Molecule: ribosomal RNA, 253 nt
Filed under: uncultured bacterium
Lineage: Bacteria
Description: partial 16S ribosomal RNA
Rfam family: Bacterial small subunit ribosomal RNA
Source: RNAcentral
UACGUAGGUGGCAAGCGUUAUCCGGAAUUAUUGGGCGUAAAGAGCGCGCAGGUGGUUAAUUAAGUCUGAUGUGAAAGCCCACGGCUUAACCGUGGAGGGUCAUUGGAAACUGGUUGACUUGAGUGCAGAAGAGGGAAGUGGAAUUCCAUGUGUAGCGGUGAAAUGCGUAGAGAUAUGGAGAAACACCAGUGGCGAAGGCGGCUUCCUGGUCUGCAACUGACACUGAGGCGCGAAAGCGUGGGGAGCAAACAGG